This 524-nucleotide long non-coding RNA is filed under the name Carica papaya (papaya). RNAcentral describes it as "long non-coding RNA (CPAP_LNC001812)". The record is from RNAcentral. Lineage: Eukaryota; Viridiplantae; Streptophyta; Magnoliopsida; Brassicales; Caricaceae.
AAAAAUGAUGCAGAGAAGAAAUAAAGAAAGAAAAAAAAAUGAUGCAGAGAGUAGGAGAAUAAGACCCAAGUGCCAAAUAUAUAUAUACAUAAUUAAAUAAUAGAAAAAAAAAGAAAGAAAGAGAGAAGAGAACGAGGAGAGAGAGACACAACUGUGAGAGGAGAAAGAGGGCCGAGCGGCUAGAAGAAAGAGGGAGAAGUAAGAGAGGAAGGUUGCAGCCGAGAGAGGGAACGAUAGGGGAGACAUAAAGAGGAGGUGGGUCACAUGGUGUUGAGCGACACUGCAGCUAAAAGAGAAAGAAAGAGGAGGAGGGUCACACGGGUUGUACGAUGUAGUGACAAGAAACUAGAAAAAGAAGAAGAAGAAGAGAGAAAAUAGUCAUGCUUAGGUGUAGAGAGAGAGAGAGAAGAAGAAGAAAGGACAAACAAGAAGAAAAAGAAAGGAAAAAGGAAGAAGAAAAAGAAAAUAGGAAAGAAAAAGAAGAAAAAAGGGGAAGAAGAAAGAGAUGAGAGUGCGACAGANNN